AUUGAACGCUGGCGGCAGGCCUAACACAUGUAAGUCGAACGAGUGGCGGACGGGUGAGUAAUGUCUGGGAAACUGCCCGAUGGAGGGGGAUAACUACUGGAAACGGUAGCUAAUACCGCAUACCAUCGGAUGUGCCCAGAUGGGAUUAGCUUGUAGGUGAGGUAACGGCUCAACUAGGCGACGAUCCCUAGCUGGUCUGAGAGGAUGACCAGCCACAGUGGAACUGAGACACGGUCAAGACUCCUACGGGAGGGAGCAGUGGGGGAUAUUGCAAAAGGGGCGCAAGCCUGAUGCAGCCAGGCAGCGUGUAUGAAGAAGGCCUUCGGGUUGUAAAGUACUUUCAGCGGGGAGGCGUUACACGCAGAAGAAGCACCGGCUGACUCCGUACCAUCAGCCGCGGUAAUAC
Molecule: ribosomal RNA, 406 nt
Filed under: uncultured bacterium
Lineage: Bacteria
Description: partial 16S ribosomal RNA
Rfam family: Bacterial small subunit ribosomal RNA
Source: RNAcentral